This 468-nucleotide ribosomal RNA is filed under the name uncultured bacterium. Its description in RNAcentral is "partial 16S ribosomal RNA". It matches the Rfam family "Bacterial small subunit ribosomal RNA", at positions 28 to 507 of the family's 1533-position model. The record is from RNAcentral.
GACGAACGCUGGCGGCGUGCUUAACACAUGCAAGUCGAACGGAAAGGCCCUGCUUUUGUGGGGUGCUCGAGUGGCGAACGGGUGAGUAACACGUGAGUAACCUGCCCUUGACUUUGGGAUAACUUCAGGAAACUGGGGCUAAUACCGGAUAGGAGCUCCUGCUGCAUGGUGGGGGUUGGAAAGUUUCGGCGGUUGGGGAUGGACUCGCGGCUUAUCAGCUUGUUGGUGGGGUAGUGGCUUACCAAGGCUUUGACGGGUAGCCGGCCUGAGCGGGUGACCGGCGACAUUGGGACUGAGAUACGGCCCAGACUCCUACGGGAGGCAGCAGUGGGGAAUAUUGCACAAUGGGCGGAAGCCUGAUGCAGCAACGCCGCGUGCGGGAUGACGGCCUUCGGGUUGUAAACCGCUUUCGCCUGUGACGAAGCGUGAGUGACGGUAAUGGGUAAAGAAGCACCGGCUAACUACGUG